This 178-nucleotide non-coding RNA is filed under the name Pongo abelii (Sumatran orangutan). The record is from RNAcentral. Lineage: Eukaryota; Metazoa; Chordata; Mammalia; Primates; Hominidae.
GGCACUUCCGCAGCUGAAGUGCUGGGAGCUUGCAGCCAGAAGCCCUGAGUGCACCAUCAUAGAGCAAGAUCCAGCUCCACUACCACAGCCAGUGCCUUGCCUUUCUUCUAGAGGAAGAGUAAGAGAUAUGGGUGAAAGAGUUAUCCGGAAUGGAAUGCUGAGGAGACCCUAAAGGGAA